GCUGCGAGUGAAGCGGGAAAAGCUCAAAUUUAAAAUCUGGCGGUCUUUGGCCGCCCGAGUUGUAAUUUAGAGAAGCGUCUUCCGCGCUGGACCGUGCACAAGUCUCCUGGAAUGGAGCGUCACAGAGGGUGAGAAUCCCGUCUUUGGCACGGACGCACGGUGCUUCUGUGAUGCGCUCUCAAAGAGUCGAGUUGUUUGGGAAUGCAGCUCUAAAUGGGUGGUGAAUUCCAUCUAAAGCUAAAUAUUGGCGAGAGACCGAUAGCGAACAAGUACCGUGAGGGAAAGAUGAAAAGAACUUUGGAAAGAGAGUGAAACAGUACGUGAAAUUGUUGAAAGGGAAACGCUUGAAGUCAGUCGCGUCAACUGAGACUCAGCCUUGCCUUGUCGUGUUGUACUUCUGGGCCUGACGGGUCAGCAUCUUUUUUGCCCCUCAGAUAAGGGCAAGGGAUGUGUGGCACCUUUACGGGUGUGUUACAUUCUCCUGUCGCAUGCGAUGGGUGUGAUUGACGAACUCAGCCUGCACCUUGGUGUCCGACCUUCUGCCCACUUCCACGCUUACGAGCUGGCGUAUGGCUUUACCGACCCGCUUGAAACAGGACC
RNAcentral lists this ribosomal RNA (600 nucleotides) under Lactarius olympianus. Its description in RNAcentral is "eukaryotic LSU rRNA". It matches the Rfam family "Eukaryotic large subunit ribosomal RNA", at positions 86 to 667 of the family's 3401-position model. Lineage: Eukaryota; Fungi; Basidiomycota; Agaricomycetes; Russulales; Russulaceae. The record is from RNAcentral.